This 773-nucleotide ribosomal RNA is filed under the name uncultured bacterium. Its description in RNAcentral is "bacterial SSU rRNA". It matches the Rfam family "Bacterial small subunit ribosomal RNA", at positions 51 to 820 of the family's 1533-position model. The record is from RNAcentral.
ACACAUGCAAGUCGAACGAAGCUUGACGGAUGAUUUCUUCGGAAUGAAACCAGAUAUGACUUAGUGGCGGACGGGUGAGUAACACGUGAGCAACCUGCCUUUCAGAGGGGGAUAACGGCUGGAAACGGUCGCUAAUACCGCAUGAUGUGUUCGGAUGGCAUCAUUUGAACAUCAAAGAUUUAUCGCUGAAAGAUGGGCUCGCGUCUGAUUAGAUAGUUGGUGGGGUAACGGCCUACCAAGUCUACGAUCAGUAGCCGGACUGAGAGGUUGAGCGGCCACAUUGGGACUGAGAUACGGCCCAGACUCCUACGGGAGGCAGCAGUGGGGAAUAUUGCACAAUGGGGGAAACCCUGAUGCAGCAACGCCGCGUGAAGGAUGACGGUUUUCGGAUUGUAAACUUCUUUUCUUAGUGACGAAGACAGUGACGGUAGCUAAGGAAUAAGCAUCGGCUAACUACGUGCCAGCAGCCGCGGUAAUACGUAGGAUGCAAGCGUUAUCCGGAUUUACUGGGUGUAAAGGGAGCGCAGGCGGGACUGCAAGUUGGAUGUGAAAUACCGUGGCUUAACCACGGAACUGCAUCCAAAACUGUAGUUCUUGAGUGAAGUAGAGGCAAGCGGAAUUCCGAGUGUAGCGGUGAAAUGCGUAGAUAUUCGGAGGAACACCAGUGGCGAAGGCGGCUUGCUGGGCUUUAACUGACGCUGAGGCUCGAAAGUGUGGGGAGCAAACAGGAUUAGAUACCCUGGUAGUCCACACUGUAAACGAUGAUAGCUAGG